RNAcentral lists this transfer-messenger RNA (334 nucleotides) under bovine gut metagenome. It matches the Rfam family "transfer-messenger RNA". Rfam says of the family: Bacterial tmRNA, also known as 10Sa RNA or SsrA, is named for its dual tRNA and mRNA-like properties. Its role is to liberate the mRNA from a stalled ribosome. The record is from RNAcentral.
GGGCCUGACAGGUUUCGACGGGGCGUUUUAAGUUGAAGAAGCUAUCCGCAGGUGUGCGUCAAACCCAAAAUUAAACUAAACGCUGAAGAUAAUUUAGCACUGGCUGCCUAAGUGCAGCCCGUCCUUCUCACCCCACCUGCAGGGUGAGGUAAGGGCGUCGGAUUGCAGGAAACGCGUAUGCAAAGCUUUGAGCAUGCGGCAGAUCCAUGAAGCUACUGAAACCGUAUCCGCUGUCUUUGGCGGUGCGGCAGAGGGAAUGUCCAAGCAAAGACUAUGAUAGUAGAAGGGCAAUGGCGAGCGUUUCGGACAGGGGUUCAAAUCCCCUCAGGUCCAU